Long non-coding RNA from Hordeum vulgare subsp. vulgare (domesticated barley), 897 nucleotides. RefSeq lists it as uncharacterized. NCBI's taxonomy places the organism in Eukaryota, Viridiplantae, Streptophyta, Magnoliopsida, Poales, Poaceae. The transcript is spliced from 2 exons. The record is from RefSeq and is a predicted model, not a curated record.
AUCUUAUCAAAAAUUAAUAUAAAAUUAUAUGUUUGACUAUAUAACUUUAAAUUGACUACACAACUCUGUAAUUCUCGCACUGCCACUCAUGAACACCCUUGAGAGCCGGCACUUCAUGUUGAUUGAUGAAGUUAUCACACACGCGUGUGUACACUCACGAACCAGAACAAGGGAAAAACUCAAACCGGCCCCUGGGUCGUCCUCCUGAGGGACUCAGGAGGCGACUAGGGUUCCCCUCGCGCCGCCACCCCCUUUCCCUGCUCUUCCUCGCCGCCACCUGAGGAUCUCGUCGGGUUUUAUUCCACGGACUCCGGGGAAGGUAGCCGCGAGGCCUCGACCGCUCCGUUCCUGGCGGAGUGUUUCAUAUCUGGGGCGACGGCCCCCAUUGGCGAGGCAACAACGUCUUCUCGAUUGGAGCCGGUUGCGGGCGAUUCUGGUCGGCUCGCUCAACCACGCGGUUGGUGAGCCGUCGACGGGGGCUGGUUGCGGCGUGGAGUCUACUCUCCUCGUCGGAUCUGAGGGUGAGCGUCUUGCAGGUCUGGUGGUUCGACGCCUUUCGUUCGAAGGCGAGAGGGAAGGGUCCCUCUGCGGCGCGAGAGGAGGAUGCUGCUUGGACUUCUUCAUCUUGGGAGUCCGCCCAGUUCAUGCCAAUUCUCUUUAUCAGGAGGUCCUCGUCCUACUCUUGCUGGUCAUUCCUUGGUACCAGUUUUGCUGUGGCCUUGGGCUAGUGUAAGCAUUGGGCUCGAUGUUUCUUUUCUUUUGUGCUUGUGCACUGCGUUGAGUUGUAAGCUUCCUAGAGUGCUCCCUUGUAUCAUGUGACCGAUUUGGUCUGUGGUGUGUCUGUAUUUUCUAGCCGGUUGAUGGCUUUGUUAAUUCAAAGCCGGGCUCUCCACGAUC